ACAGAGGAGGCAAGCGUUGUUCGGAAUCACUGGGCUUAAAGCGGGUGUAGGCGGCUGCGCAAGUGUCCUGUGAAAUCCCACGGCUCAACCGUGGAACUGCAGGGCAAACUGCGUGGCUUGAGGUCGGUAGAGGUGCCUGGAACUCUAGGUGGAGCGGUGAAAUGCGUAGAUAUCUAGAGGAACGCCGGAGGCGAAAGCGGGGCACUGGGCCGAUUCUGACGCUGAGACCCGAAAGCGUGGGGAGCAAACAG
RNAcentral lists this ribosomal RNA (251 nucleotides) under uncultured prokaryote. RNAcentral's name for it is "partial 16S rRNA". It matches the Rfam family "Bacterial small subunit ribosomal RNA", at positions 525 to 775 of the family's 1533-position model. The record is from RNAcentral.